RNAcentral lists this ribosomal RNA (253 nucleotides) under uncultured bacterium. Its description in RNAcentral is "partial 16S ribosomal RNA". It matches the Rfam family "Bacterial small subunit ribosomal RNA", at positions 524 to 776 of the family's 1533-position model. The record is from RNAcentral.
UACGAAGGGUGCAAACGUUGCUCGGAAUUAUUGGGCGUAAAGCGCACGUAGGCGGCUUAGCAAGUCGGAUGUGAAAUCCCUCGGCUCAACCAAGGAAGUGCAUCCGAAACUGCUGAGCUUGAGUACGAAAGAGGAUCGCGGAAUUCCCGGUGUAGAGGUGAAAUUCGUAGAUAUCGGGAGGAACACCAGUGGCGAAGGCGGCGAUCUGGGUCGAUACUGACGCUGAGGUGCGAAAGCGCGGGGAGCAAACAGG